GAAUUCAACUCCUACGGGAGGCAGCAGUGGGGAAUAUUGCACAAUGGGCGCAAGCCUGAUGCAGCCAUGCCGCGUGUAUGAAGAAGGCCUUCGGGUUGUAAAGUGCUUUCAGCGGGGAGGAAGGCAUUGCGGUUAAUAACCGCAGUGAUUGACGUUACCAGCAGAAGAAGCACCGGCUAACUCCGUGCCAGCAGCCGCGGUAAUACGGAGGGUGCAAGCGUUAAUCGGAAUUACUGGGCGUAAAGCGCACGCAGGCGGUCUGUCAAGUCGGAUGUGAAAUCCCCGGGCUCAACCCGGGAACUGCAUUCGAAACUGGCAGACUAGGGUCUUGUAGAGGGGGGUAGAAUUCCAGGUGUAGCGGUGGAAUGCGUAGAGAUCUGGAGGAAUACCGGUGGCGAAGGCGGCCCCCUGGACAAAGACUGACGCUCAGGUGCGAAAGCGUGGGGAGCAAACAGGAUUAGAAACCCUAGUAGUCCAGGCGUU
This 483-nucleotide ribosomal RNA is filed under the name uncultured bacterium. RNAcentral describes it as "bacterial SSU rRNA". It matches the Rfam family "Bacterial small subunit ribosomal RNA", at positions 328 to 803 of the family's 1533-position model. The record is from RNAcentral.